This 488-nucleotide unclassified non-coding RNA is filed under the name Hevea brasiliensis (rubber tree). The record is from RNAcentral. Lineage: Eukaryota; Viridiplantae; Streptophyta; Magnoliopsida; Malpighiales; Euphorbiaceae.
CUCUCUUGCUUUAUCGCAUUCUCUCACCUGUUGGCAAGAUAGGUUCUGAUCCCGAGUGAGUAAAAAUAUGGGGAUCCAUACAUUGAAAUACUUGAAAUUUUUAAUCACCUUCUACACCUAAAUAUCAAAAUACAGGAAGAUGGGUUUAAUCUCCUAUUACUUCUUCCUCUUUCCUGAGCCGACAUAAUCAUCCGUUGUCAAUUCUUACGUUUCUUUAGCAAGCUGGGACUCUCAGUUUGCCUUCCCGUAGCACGCUUUGACGGUGUUAUGUUCUUGGCAAGCUUCUUCUCUUUGCGUGCUUGUCUCUCUCUCUCAUCAUAUUCUUGGUUUUCCUUCUCCACCAACCGAAUUAGAGUAUCACAUCUCCUUGCGAGUUCUUGAGUUGUACGAGACUUCACAAACCAAUCAAAACGAAACAAAGGUGACGUGCGAAAUGCUGCCUUUAACUCAUCCCAGUUUCCAUAUCCAAGCUUGUGAACCAUGCAAAU